Molecule: ribosomal RNA, 292 nt
Filed under: uncultured bacterium
Lineage: Bacteria
Description: partial 16S ribosomal RNA
Source: RNAcentral
GGACUACACGGGUUUCUAAUCCUGUUUGCUCCCCACGCUUUCGUGCAUGAGCGUCAGUGUUAUCCCAGGGGGCUGCCUUCGCCAUCGGUAUUCCUCCACAUAUCUACGCAUUUCACUGCUACACGUGGAAUUCUACCCCCCUCUGACACACUCUAGCCAUACAGUCUCAAAUGCAGUUCCCAGGUUGAGCCCGGGGAUUUCACAUCUGACUUAUAUGACCGCCUGCGCACGCUUUACGCCCAGUAAUUCCGAUUAACGCUUGCACCCUACGUAUUACCGCGGCUGCUGGCAC